This 467-nucleotide ribosomal RNA is filed under the name uncultured bacterium. RNAcentral's name for it is "partial 16S ribosomal RNA". It matches the Rfam family "Bacterial small subunit ribosomal RNA", at positions 28 to 507 of the family's 1533-position model. The record is from RNAcentral.
GAUGAACGCUGACAGAAUGCUUAACACAUGCAAGUCAACUUGAAUUUGGGUUUUUAACUUAGGUUUGGGUGGCGGACGGGUGAGUAACGCGUAAAGAACUUGCCUCCCAGCUAGGGACAACAUUUGGAAACGAAUGCUAAUACCUAAUAUUAUGAUAAUAGGGCAUCCUAUAAUUAUGAAAGCUAUAAGCGCUGUGAGAGAGCUUUGCGUCCCAUUAGCUAGUUGGAGAGGUAACGGCUCACCAAGGCGAUGAUGGGUAGCCGGCCUGAGAGGGUGAUCGGCCACAAGGGGACUGAGACACGGCCCUUACUCCAACGGGAGGCAGCAGUGGGGAAUAUGGGACAAUGGACCGAGAGUCUGAUCCAGCAACUCUGUGUGCACGAUGAAGUUUUUCGGAAUGUAAAGUGCUUUCAGUUGGGAAGAAACAAAUGACGGUACCAACAGAAGAAGUGACGGCUAAAUACGUG